Molecule: long non-coding RNA, 862 nt
Filed under: Erythranthe guttata (spotted monkey flower)
Lineage: Eukaryota; Viridiplantae; Streptophyta; Magnoliopsida; Lamiales; Phrymaceae
Description: long non-coding RNA (EGUT_LNC000862)
Source: RNAcentral
AAAAAGAAGUGUUCUCUCUGUUUUAAUUUCUCCCCUUUCUUUUUCUGCGAAACCCUAGAGACUGUCUCUAAUUUUGUUUUGCGUUGAAAUCGUGAAAUUAAGCGCGCUACUUUCGCAGUACACUGGGCAGAAUUACGAAGGUGAGUUUGUUUAUUUUUUUUUUUUGCAUAUUGUUUUCUUCCGGUGAAUUUUGGAUGCUGAAGAUCUAUGUUUUGAUUGGGGAUUAUUUUUUCUCCCGUUAAAAAAAAUUUAGUAAUUGAUGCGCCAACUUAAUUGAAUUAAUCAUUGAGAUUGAGUUUGAAUUGAGUUGUUUUUUUUUUUUUUUUUUUUUUUUUUUUUUUAUCAUUUCGCUGAGUAGUUUAUGUUUUUCUGCUAUUGAUAUUUGAGAAAACAUCAUGCUGAGAUUAUCAAAUUUUUGUUUGGCGAUGUUUGUGUAUUAAUGAAGUCCCUGCUUUUGAUUAUGUGUAUUACUAUGACCCCUCGAUAUUUGUGACAAAGAAAAUGUAUAACUCGUUUCGAGCUUUUCCAUUUAUCCUUCUGACACCAUUUUUUUUUAAAUUAUCUACAAAUGUUAUUUAACAAGUGAAUGGCAUGAUAACCAGUUACUGAUGGUAAUACAUACAAACAAGAUGAAGAAAGAGAAACUUAUGAAUUCACGAUACAAUUUGAGAAACCAAAUUCUUGCCCCUGCACGGCUAAUUCUUUCCUUGUGGGUCGAAUGGUUGAACAUUUUCCUUCCUUUUCUUAAUGGUUCCUUUUGUUUCAGAUUCUAUGACAGAUCGUCCAGUGCACAGUGAGUACCAUUCUGGAGAUGCGUGGAGUGGAUCUUUUGAAUAUGUUCAACUUCUCGGCGCAUUGGACC